UUCGCAGAUUGGUCGUGGGGUUUGGCAAGCUGACCACUAACUGCGUCACCUAUUUUUGUUCCCCUGCUUUUCAGUCGAGCGCACUCAGCGGCGAGCGGUUCGGACAAAUCGCAGCGGCCGGCGGCGAGCGACGAGCGGGUGAGCGGCGGCUAUUUUCUGCUCCGGCUCGGUGUCCUCGGCUCCGACGUCGUCGAUGGCUGGAGUCAGCAGCGCCUUGGUCGGCCGGCUGGAUCGGCGGCAAUGGUGUAGAGGGUGGUUUCCGGCGGCGCUGCAGACGGCUUCGGCAUGGUUGUCGGGUAGAGGGGUGGGUGUUGGCUGAGGUCGGAAUCAGCAUCGGCCGGCUCCGUCGCCAGCGUUCCUCCCCCACCAAGGCCCAACACUGUCCGUGGCCGAGGCAACCCGUACCGAAUUCCACCAUCGAGCCGGACGGCCACCGUAGUAGGUAGCUCAAGAAUCCAAGUUCGACCCAGGAGUGCAAGCGUUGAGAAUCCUUGCCAAUUGUCGCAGGCUCGCGUUAGCCAGCGUAGGCACUCGGCAUGGUGAGCUAGCUGCAGCACUGCAGCUUUGAUCGCUGUCGAAGUCUCCUCAUAGGUGCCGGCACGCUGCGCACGAAGAGUGAGCAGCAGUAGCAGGCAACAGCUCCAAUGUCGGUGUCUCUUAGCGCCACUCGCAAAGCAGCUUUAAACUACUCUGCUCUCCUCCAGUAAUUUUUUCAUGUUUCACACUUCUUUCUACCGCAGUCCCACUACUUGUUACUUUUGAUCCUUGCAUCUUAAUAUGGGAAGUUCUAAUUAGGUCUCAGAUUUAUCACUAAUAAAUUUUGUUCUUUAGAAAUUUUCUAUGUUGCUACGUGUGGUAGUUUCAGUUUUUAAGUGGAAAGCAUCUUGUCAUUUUGCAUAAUAAAUAGAGGUGAAUGUGAAGUUAAUUAAGAUGUAAAUUUUGUGUUUUCUGAUGUAUAUUUAUUCCGAUAUGGUGGUUGAGAUAACUAAACAAAUCCGUUUAUUAUGUUUGCUUCCGUACAAAAAAAAAACUUAUUUGUACUUUUAGCUGAUUCUCGUGUGUGGUUGUGGCAUGCAAGAAAGCUCAAGAGAAAUUUUAUAAUCACUGCCGUGGUGACUGCGGGUGGCAUCGGCAUCGGUAUCGGUAUGGUGCUGAACGGCCGGCAGACUCAGCACUGCUGUUUGGUCGUUUCACGGCGGACGAACUACAGUGGUGGAGACUUCGACUUUAAGUACGCGAGCCACCCUUUCCUCCCUUGUCGGCUCUUUUAACCUGGUGUUCAAUGCCAGAAACCUGAUGAGCUGAAUAUAUUAAGGCAAGUUCCCUUCAGUAGUCACGCUAAGUUGGCAGUGGCCGCUGUGGUUGGUACCACUUGGUCUUUGCUCUUUCUAGCACUCUUGGAAAAGCAUAUCGCUGUUCCAGAUUGUGCCUUCUCGGUGAUCUUGUUGCCUUCUUGGCAUGGAAGAAACAAGGAUACAUAUAUACCACUCUAUUUGACCCAGUGCCUGUUGUGUGGCUUCCUCUCUGAACAUCAAAUGAAGCGACAUAAAGUCAGCAUCGACGACAUUAUAUAGCUUCUUUUGUCAAGGAUUAUCAUGUCUCAUGCAUGAGCUAUAAUUAUCCCUUAUUUGAAUUGUGUGUAUACACUAGGCUUCACAUGUAAUUAUUGAGUCUACGCAAAUAUUAUGUGUAUUCCUUUCUUACUAAAUCUCUCAUACACUAGCUGUCGUGAGUUGCUA
Lolium perenne is the source of this 1739-nucleotide non-coding RNA. The record is from RefSeq and is a predicted model, not a curated record. Lineage: Eukaryota; Viridiplantae; Streptophyta; Magnoliopsida; Poales; Poaceae.